Long non-coding RNA from Drosophila subpulchrella, 497 nucleotides. RefSeq lists it as uncharacterized. The record is from RefSeq and is a predicted model, not a curated record. The transcript has 3 exons. Lineage: Eukaryota; Metazoa; Arthropoda; Insecta; Diptera; Drosophilidae.
UUUGAAGUGGAUAAUGGCUCUGAUAACAUUGACCCUGGCUUUCUUGGUAGUCGGGCUGUUGUAUUCCACUCUAAUAUAUAACUACGACCACUGGAGAUAGCGGGGGGUUUUGGGUCCCAAGCCGAAGUUCUUAUGCGGAAUAUAUUCUUACAUUUUCUUUCUGAAUGUGCAACGCCCACAAUCCGUCCAAAACUGUGGCUCCCACAGUACUGUAUACAGUUAUAUUAGAAUAAACAAACAACAAAGCUAGGAUAUGUGUGUGCUUGAAGAAGGAGAGGUAUAUUACGAGCCCCUAGCCAAAAUGACGUACUUGGAGCAGGUUGUGGCAGAAACCGUUCGAAAACAUCCUGUAAUUUCGCAAAUUGCUCGUAAGUGCAAUCAGAACUACAAAGUACCAAAUACAGAGUUAAUCAUUGAAAAGCGAACUUCGACCCAGAGGAUACCCAGUCUCGACACCCUUUUUAUACCCGUUAAUCGUAGAGUAAAAGGGUAUACUA